AUGUCUUUAUUUGUUUGAUUGUUCUGUAUAAACUUGAGGAAAAAAAAAAAAAACGUAUCAGUUUAAUAUCUGAUACGUCCUCUACCCGAGGACCAUAUAUUAAUCUGAUUUUUGGAACAGGGAGACGGAAGAGGGGCUUGUUCCGUCGCUCCCGAGAUCGAUUCGUAUUGCAGUGACUCCGGGAACGGUGCACAUCCC
Alosa alosa (allis shad) is the source of this 198-nucleotide small nuclear RNA. RefSeq annotates it as U2 spliceosomal RNA. The transcript has a single exon. The record is from RefSeq and is a predicted model, not a curated record. Lineage: Eukaryota; Metazoa; Chordata; Actinopteri; Clupeiformes; Clupeidae.